This 780-nucleotide long non-coding RNA is filed under the name Brassica napus (rape). Its description in RNAcentral is "long non-coding RNA (BNAP_LNC001213)". The record is from RNAcentral. Lineage: Eukaryota; Viridiplantae; Streptophyta; Magnoliopsida; Brassicales; Brassicaceae.
UUAUGUUUUGUUGGUUUAACCUUUGCGUGUGUUUGAUUCUGGAAUUGUAUAUGUUAAACCUUUACUGAAUUUGUAUCCGCUAAACUACCAUUUAUUUUAGAAUUGUAUUCUUCCAAUCAACGGGUUUGUGUUCUUCCGAUCAUCAGCUUUGAAUCUAGUUUUAAUUUGUUAAUAAACGCUUGAUGAACAAAAGAAAAGAUUUGCUCAGUUCACGGCUGUGUAAGCCUUGAUGAUAAUUUAUAACAUUGAGGUAGUCGCUUUGACCCGCCAUCUUAAGUAUGCAAAAUUUAAGAUUUUUGUAUCAUAAUUUUCUGUCUCGUUGUCAUGGCCUUUAAUUGAUCAAGUCUUACUUGAUAUUCCACUAUUGCGGUCAACUUACACAUAUAUAUAUUUUUUAUUUCUCAUCAUUUAAAAGAUAAAAGGGUUCACCCACGAUGAAAAGUUGCAUAUGAACUAUAAUUUUUUGGUCAUGUGACUGGAUUAAUGGAACAACAAUACAAUACGUACAUACAACAUCAAAACACAUAUGAAUUAUAAGCCAAACUGUAAAAAAAUAUUUUCUUAUCAUUCAUUAGUUACGAUUUCCUUACUGAUAAGUGAUAACUGAGAAGGGAUAUCCCCUAACGAGUUGUAAAUACGAAUAAAAUAAUGUCUAUCCAAUUAAUUAAUUAAAGUUGGUAAAAGAUUUUGAAUAAGUGACAGAAAGUGUGAGGUGGUGGGGAAAAUGUCAAGGGAUCCACUAGAUUUUGGGGAUUUGCAAAAUAUUAUAUGUUAUACUUG